GUGACAGUUGCCAAGCGGUAAGGCACUUGGAUAUCACCUUAUUCACGCACUUGUCCGCAAGGGCCGAAGAAUGAGGGUUAUCGAUUAGGGACCCAAGCAUCGGAGGUUCGACUCCUCCCUGUGACU
This 126-nucleotide transfer RNA is filed under the name Leptolyngbya sp. SIO1E4. RNAcentral's name for it is "tRNA-OTHER". It matches the Rfam family "tRNA". From Rfam's summary of the family: Transfer RNA (tRNA) molecules are approximately 80 nucleotides in length. The record is from RNAcentral. Lineage: Bacteria; Bacillati; Cyanobacteriota; Cyanophyceae; Leptolyngbyales; Leptolyngbyaceae.